This 94-nucleotide microRNA precursor is filed under the name Xenopus laevis (African clawed frog). Its description in RNAcentral is "mir-146 microRNA precursor family". It matches the Rfam family "mir-146 microRNA precursor family". The record is from Rfam by way of RNAcentral. Lineage: Eukaryota; Metazoa; Chordata; Amphibia; Anura; Pipidae.
AUGGCAGAGCCCGGCUCUGAGAACUGAAUUCCAUGGACUGUUCCACUCGCAGCCUCAGUCCACAGGGUUCAGUGCUCCAGUCUGGCUGCCGCUA